RNAcentral lists this long non-coding RNA (425 nucleotides) under Amborella trichopoda. RNAcentral describes it as "long non-coding RNA (ATRI_LNC000233)". The record is from RNAcentral. Lineage: Eukaryota; Viridiplantae; Streptophyta; Magnoliopsida; Amborellales; Amborellaceae.
GCAACACUUUCUUCUUCUACCAACCGUUCCUCUUGCAUUCUCUCUCUACCUCUCUCUACUCACCCUCUCUCUUUCUUUCUCUCUACCCGCUCUCUUAGCUUUGUCUCUCUACCCACCAUCCUUCUCCUUUUCCCUUGUUGGGAGGCCGAGCAGCCCUUGAAGAGGGUCGAGAAUGUGAAGAGCCCACACCAACUGCUGGUACGCGAUUGCACCUAUCUAGCACCUGCACCAACUGUUGCUCCCCCAUUGCACCCAUCUAGCACCCGCACCAACUGUUGCUCUGCCAUUUCUACUGCGUAUGCACCGUUGGUAGUAGUGAUGGAGGUGGAAGAGAGAGGAUAUAUAGGAGAAUGGGGUAUCCAUUAUUGGGGCGGGAAGGGGCAGUUGAAAUGCUAAAAUUGUUGCCGUUUUGGGCGGGGUUUGUC